AGCAGGCGCGAAAACUUUACACUGUUGGCAACAGCGAUAAGGGGACCUCGAGUGCCAGGUUACAAAUCUGGCUGUCGUGAUGCCUAAAAAGCAUUGCAUAGCAAGGGCCGGGCAAGACCGGUGCCAGCCGCCGCGGUAACACCGGCGGCUCGAGUGGUAACCGUUAUUAUUGGGUCUAAAGGGUCUGUAGCCGGCCGGAUAAGUCUCUUGGGAAAUCCAGCAGCUCAACUGUUGGGCUUUCAGGAGAUACUGUCUGGCUCGAGGCCGGGAGAGGUGAGAGGUACUUCAGGGGUAGGGGUGAAAUCUUGUAAUCCUUGAAGGACCACCAGUGGCGAAGGCGUCUCACCAGAACGGACCUGACGGCAAGGGACGAAAGCUAGGGGCACGAACCGGAUUAGAUACCCGGGUAGUCCUAGCCGUAAACGAUACUCGCUAGGUGUCGGCCACGGUGCGACCGUUGUCGGUGCCGUAGGGAAGCCGUGAAGCGAGCCACCUGGGAAGUACGGCCGCAAGGCUGAAACUUAAAGGAAUUGGCGGGGGAGCAC
This 545-nucleotide ribosomal RNA is filed under the name uncultured archaeon. RNAcentral describes it as "bacterial SSU rRNA". It matches the Rfam family "Archaeal small subunit ribosomal RNA", at positions 334 to 879 of the family's 1478-position model. The record is from RNAcentral.